RNAcentral lists this long non-coding RNA (1479 nucleotides) under Monodelphis domestica (gray short-tailed opossum). Its description in RNAcentral is "lncRNA (ENSMODG00000048193.1)". Lineage: Eukaryota; Metazoa; Chordata; Mammalia; Didelphimorphia; Didelphidae. The record is from RNAcentral.
UUCUUCCCACUCCCCAAAGCAAUCAAUAGUCUGAUACAGGUUGUACCAGUGCUUUCAUGUAAUAUAUAGUUUCCUUUUGCUCAUGCUAUGAUACACAUCACAAUACAACAAAAAACAAUUCAUGAAGGAAAUAAAGUGGAAGAUGGAAUGCUCUGAUCUGCAGUCAGACUCUAAUAGUUCCUCCUUUGACUGUAGAGAACAUUUUUCAUUAUAGGUACCUUGUGGAUAUCUUGGGAAUUUGCUUUGCUGAUAAGAGUAUAGCACUUCACAGAUGGUCAUUGAAUAAUAUUUCUGUUACUGUGUACAUUGUUCUCCUGGUUUUACUCACUUCACUUUGCAUCAGUUCAUCUAAAUCUUUCUAGAUUUUUCUGAACUCAUGAUGUUCUUCAUUUCUUAUGACACAAUACUAUUCCAUUACAACUAUGUGCUACAACUUGUUCCCAAAUGAUGCCCCUCAGUUUCCAAUUCUUUGCCACUACAAAAAGAGCUGCUAAAAAUAUUUUUUUAUACAGAUAGGUCUUUCUCCUUAUGUCUGAUCUCUUUGGGAUACAGAUCCAGUUGUGGUAUUGUUGGGUCAAAGAGUAUGCAUAAUUUUAUGGCCCUUUGAGCGUGAUUCCAUAUUGCUCCCUGAAAUGAAUUUAUCAGUUUACAGUUCCACCAACAGUGUGUUAGUAUACCGGUUUUUCCAUAUCUAUUCCAACACUUAGCAUUUUCUUUUUCGGUCAUGUUAGCCAAUCUGAUAGGCAUGAAGUAGUAUCUCAGAGUUGUUUUAAUUUGUAUUCUCUAGUAAAUAGUGAUUUGGAGCAUUUUUUUAUAUGAGUAUAGCUAAGGCAGAAUUUUUACUCACAUCUUCCAGAUCCCCAAGUCUAACAUUCUAUCUACUGUGACACCUAGCAGCAUCCUUUACAUUCUCCCCCCAAAUAUUCUAGCAUGGCAUCAGUCAAUUUAUUUGCAUUUAUCCAUGUCUGUUACUAUGUGCCAGAAAUUAUACUAAGGAGAAGAAGAAGAAGAAGAAGAAGAAGAAGAAGAAGAAGAAGAAGAAGAAGAAGAAGAAGAAGAAGAAGAAGAAGAAGAAGAAGAAGAAGAAGAAGAAGAAGAAGAAGAAGAAGAAGAAGAAGAAGAAGAAGAAGAAGAAGAAGAAGAAGAAAGAAAGAAAGAAAGAAAAGAAAGAAAGAAAGAAAGGAAGAAAGAAAGGAAGAAAGAAAGGAAGAAAGAAAAGUUAUAUUUCAUUUAAUUUUUUUUUCUUGGGGUCAGCUAGGUAGCAUAGUGGAUUGAGAACCAGGCCUAGAGAUGGGAGGUUCUGGGUUCAAGGUUAAAAUGUGACCUCAAACACUGCCUAGCUGUGUGAUCCUGGGUAAGUCACUUAACCCCCAUUGCCUAGUCCUUACCAUUCUUCUGCCUUGGAACCAAUACAUAGUAUUGAUUCUAAGUGGAAGGUAAGGGUUUCUAAAAAAAAUAAAAUAAAAAUAAAAUGUUUCA